AGAUUCACCUUGGAGCUAGAACAGGGACGUGCACAUGAUUAUACAGGGGCAGGGGCUCAAGUUUUUUCCAGUCAUUUAUACAAUAUGGAAAUUAAUGUGAAAUUAAACCACAAAUAUGUGUGAUGAACUGUUUUUAAAACUUAAACUUCAAAUAAAAAUUGUAAACUUCAAAACAUAUGCAAAUUUUUAACAAAGAACAUAGUUAUUUACCUCUAUUUACAUCAAAAUGCAGGCAAUGGCCCAGGCGUUCUUUGUAAAAUUAUUUACAAAACACUGUAUAGUCUCACAAAUGUCACUUUUUAUUUAUGCCACUACAAAAAAACAUGAUGUAAAUGAUGCAUGAUGUAAAACAUGAUGUAAAAAACUUGUGUAGAUCCUCCUCUAUGUCAGUCCAUGUGUAAUUUUUCCAUAAUUCUUUGUUUUUUGCAGCAUUUUUGUUAGUGUAACUGCAGAUUGUGCUGACAGUGUCUAUGGCACAAAAAAAAAAAAAAUUAAAAUGCCUCAACAUGAACCCCUGGUGGUCUCUGAGGGUGAAACCUGCUAACUGCUGCAGCUCUGUCAGCUUCAGUCUCCCAUGCAGAGCUCUGAGCGCAUGUGUGGCUCUGCACCCUUAGCAGCGUUGCUAACUCCUCAGUAAGGAAAGCCUGCUUCAUGUCAGAGUCUCUAAACUCCAGAAGAAGUCGAUAAAAGUCCCUUUCUUUCUAAAAAAAAGUCGUUAGGGGGUCUGAAAAGUCAUUGAAUCUAACAACAAAGUCGCUAGGUUUGCAACUACGUGUCCCAGACUGCAUCCCUGCUGAGAGUCCCUCCCUCGCUUCUCAUGUUGCAGGAAGAACGUAAGCGCCCGCCCCUUGUCAAUCAGUCACCAUAUAAUUUUGGAUUGGUUGUUGUGGUGAAGUUUUCCACCAAUAGGAGAGAUGUUGUGGUGUGUUUUUUUUUUCUUUUGGCAAGCCUUUUCCGCCUGUAAGACCUGUCGCUAAUGUCUGCAUGCUAUGUUUUCCUGUCUCAUACAGCGCGAUCGAGCGCCGAACGUGAUCAAAAUAAGCAGAAAAAAAGUAUCGCGGACAUAAUUUAUCAUAACUCUGGUUUUAUUUGGCCUAUCAACACAAUUUAAAAACUGGUAUAUAGGUUGAGGUCCUCACUUUUGAGAUAAGUUGAAACGGAGAGUCAACGAGGCUCCGUCUUGCAGCUACAUCCGGUUAAAUAUGUCAUGUGACUUGAACGCACACGCAGACACACACGCACACACACACACACACACACACACACUCAGAGUCUGGUUUUUAGCACCUGCAAAAACAUGCUAUUUACAUAUUUGACAAGAAUGCAGAGGCUCCUUUUGCCCCUGAAAAAAAUCAAAUUUCAAACACAACUUGACUGGUCAUUUCUCCAAAAGACAACCAUGAAGCUCCAUCCAAACCUGAAGCAGGCAGUUGGUGCAUGUGUACAGUAACCUGAGGGGAGUGAGGUGAGUGCUUCUGAGGAGAACAUGAGCAGUGAAGAUUCACCUUGGAGCUAGAACAGAGACAUGCACAUGAUUAUACAGGGGCAGGGGCUCAAGUUUUUUCCAGUCGUUUAUACAAUAUGGAAAUUAAUGUGAAAUUAAAACACAAAGUAUUAAUAGAAAGGUAAUGACUGUCCUGUGUAGGUGACAGUGAUAUCCAAUAGGCUAGGCACUCACGAGGCUGGCUGUGGCAAGUGUAAGUGAAAGCAACACGCACUGGCAGGAAGAACAGCAAACGCCGAUGAAGGAAAAGGGUCUUUGCAGUGAUGGGCGUUACCAGAGAGGGCGAUGGCCAGAGGACACAAAUGGGACGGGGAGGCGGUCGCGUUGGGGGGGGGGAAGCUCGGGCCCGCCAGUGCCCCAACGGGGUCCUAGUUAUUAUUUUUCCUCCCCUUUGAACUGGAAAAUGGCCCACUUCCCACUGGCGAAAACUCAGGAAAUUUGGCAGGACGACCGGGCCGGGUGAAAAAUUUGAUAUUCCGAAGUCGCCCAAACAAGAAAAUGCAAAAUGGCUCCAUAGCGCCCCCUAAGGUGAAAAUUCACACUAUUGACUGUCACGCCUGUACGCUUUGUCAAAAUGACACAAAAAUUGACACACACAUGUAUCUCAAUAAGAUCUACAAAAAAGUCAGUGCGGGCGUAUCUGUCAAAUGUACGGUUAAAGGGUUAUUUCGCAUUUUUUGCCGAUCCGCACACAUUGGAAUUUCGCUAACUCCUCCGAAGGCUUUCGUUCCACCGGCACCACAUUUGCUCAGGCCAAUCUACACCCCAUGGCCAUUAAAAGUUAUUCAAAUCAUGACGCUGCACCCCACGGUUUAGGUUCUAGGGGGCGCCAAAGAUAACCCUAAGAUCCACAUAUUUAAAAGUCUUAUAACUUUUUAUUUUUGCCCUCACUGGCCUCCAAGUUUUCUAGGAUGAUGCAAUGUCCAGCCAUCAAAACAUUUGUGAAGGAAUUUUUACUCCCCAAAAGAGCGCCCCCCCAUGGCAGGAGAAAAAAGUCCAUUUUUUCUUGUCCCCUAAGGUGAAAAUACACAUUGUUGAGUGUAACACCUGUACGCUUUGGCAAAAUGACACAAAAAUUGACACACACAUGUAUCUCAAUAAGAUCUACGAAAAAGUCAAUGCGCGCGUAUCUGUCAAAUGUACGGUUAAAGGGUUAUUCCGCAUUUUUUGCCGAUCCGCACACAUUGGAAUUUCGCUAACUCCUCCGAAGGCUUUCGUUCCACCGGCACCACAUUUGCUCAGGCCAAUCUACACCCCAUGGCCAUUAAAAGUUAUUCAAAUCAUGACGCUGCACCCCACGGUUUAGGUUCUAGGGGGCGCCAAAGAUAACCCUAAAAUCCACAUAUUUAAAAGUCUUAUAACUUUUUAUUUUUGUCCUCACUGGCCUCCAAGUUUUCUAGGAUGAUGCAAUGUCCAGCCAUCAACACAUUUGUGAAGGAAUUUUUACUCCCCAAAAGAGCGCCCCCCCAUGGCAGGAGAAAAAAGUCCAUUUUUUCUUGUCCCCUAAGGUGGAAAUUCACACUAUUGACUGUCACGCCUGUACGCUUUAUCAUAUUGACACAAAAAUUGACACACAUAUGUAUCUCAAUAAGAUCUACAAAAAAGUCAAUGCGCGCGUAUCUGUCAAAUGUACGGUUAAAGGGCUAUUUUGCAUUUUUUGCCGAUUCGCACACAUUGGAAUGUGGCUAACUCCUCCUAAGGCUUUCGUCCCACUGACACCAAAUUUGCUCAGGCCAAUCUACACCCCAUGGCCAUUCAAAGUUGUAAAAAUCAUGACGCUGCACCCCACGGUUUACGUUCUAGGGGGCGCCAAAGAUGACCCAAAAAUCCACAUUCUUAAAGGAAUCCACAUCCCCCCCCAAGGCAGGAGAAAAAGUCAAGUUAACCCUGCCCAUCGCUCAAUGGCUCAAUCGCAUCGCUCUCCAGGCAACACCGUAAGGAGGAGCAACCUGCCAUUUCGAUAUAUCAUAGCUGUGUUUGUGCCCUCACUCAUGGUCCAGACUUUUUUCAAAUAGGACAUGAAGUUUGUCUGCAGCGAGUGUUUUGGUAGAAACUGCGCCUCCCAUUCAUUAUAAUGGGAAAUGACCACAGACAAGUGCGCACACCAUCUUUGGACCUUGAGUGUGACGCGAUCGGGAGGGGGAGGCGGUCGCGCUAGGGGCGGCGCGACGCGGCUCGGGCCCGACAGUGCCCCACCGGGGCCCUAGUUUGUUAUUAUUAUUAGGGCCCGAGCGUAGCUGCUAAGCAGCUGCGAGAGCCCUCUUGUUCCUGUAGUUUCCUUCUUUUGUUAUUAUUAUUUUUCCUCCCCUUUGAACUGGAAAAUGGCCCACUUCCCACUGGCGAAAACUCAUGAAAUUUGGCAGGACGACCGGGCCUGGUGAAAAAUUUGAUAUUCCGAAGUCGCCCAAACAAGAAAAUGCAAAAUGGCUCCAUAGCGCCCCCUAAGGUGAAAAUUCACACUAUUGACUGUCACGCCUGUACGCUUUGUCAAAAUGACACAAAAAUUGACACACACAUGUAUCUCAAUAAGAUCUACAAAAAAGUCAGUGCGGGCGUAUCUGUCAAAUGUACGGUUAAAGGGUUAUUUCGCAUUUUUUGCCGAUCCGCACACAUUGGAAUUUCGCUAACUCCUCCGAAGGCUUUCGUUCCACCGGCACCACAUUUGCUCAGGCCAAUCUACACCCCAUGGCCAUUAAAAGUUAUUCAAAUCAUGACGCUGCACCCCACGGUUUAGGUUCUAGGGGGCGCCAAAGAUAACCCUAAAAUCCACAUAUUUAAAAGUCUUAUAACUUUUUAUUUUUGUCCUCACUGGCCUCCAAGUUUUCUAGGAUGAUGCAAUGUCCAGCCAUCAACACAUUUGUGAAGGAAUUUUUACUCCCCAAAAGAGCGCCCCCCCAUGGCAGGAGAAAAAAGUCAAUUUUUUCUUGUCCCCUAAGGUGGAAAUUCACACUAUUGACUGUCACGCCUGUACGCUUUAUCAUAUUGACACAAAAUUUGACAAUCACAUGUAUCUCAAUAAGAUCUACAAAAAAGUCAAUGCGCGCGUAUCUGUCAAAUGUACGGUUAAAGGGCUAUUUUGCAUUUUUUGCCGAUUCGCACACAUUGGAAUGUGGCUAACUCCUCCUAAGGCUUUCGUCCCACUGACACUAAAUUUGCUCAGGCCAAUCUACACCCCAUGGUCAUUCAAAGUUGUAAAAAUCAUGACGCUGCACCCCACGGUUUACGUUCUAGGGGGCGCCAAAGAUGACCCAAAUAUCCACAUUCUUAAAAGAAUCCACAUCCCCCCCCCCAUCCCCCAACCCCCAUGGCAGGAGAAACAGUCAAGUUUUUCCUGCCCAUCACUCAAUGGCUCAAUCGCAUCACUCUCCCGGCAACACCGUAACAAGGAGCAACUUGCCGUUUGGAUAUAUCCUAGCUGUGUUUGUGCCCUCACUCAUGGUCCAGACUUUUUUCAAAUAGGACAUGUAGUUUGUCUGCAGCGAGUGUUUUGGUAGAAACUGCGCCUCCCAUUCAUUAUAAUGGGAAAUGACCACAGACAAGUGCGCACACCAUCUUUGGACCUUGAGUGUGACGCGAUCGGGAGGGGGAGGCGGUCGCGCUGGGGGCGGCGCAACGCGGCUCGGGCCCGACAGUGCCCCACCGGGGCCCUAGUUAUUAUUUUUCCUCCCCUUUGAACUGGAAAAUGGCCCACUUCCCACUGGCGAAAACUCAUGAAAUUUGGCAGGACGACCGGGCCUGGUGAAAAAUUUGAUAUUCCAUAGUCGCCCAAACAAGAAAAUGCAAAAUGGCUCCAUAGCGCCCCCUAAGGUGAAAAUUCACACUAUUGACUGUCACGCCGGUACGCUUUGUCAAAAUGACACAAAAAUUGACACACACAUGUAUCUCAAUAAGAUCUACAAAAAAGUCAGUGCGGGCGUAUCUGUCAAAUGUACGGUUAAAGGGUUAUUUCGCAUUUUUUGCCGAUCCGCACACAUUGGAAUUUCGCUAACUCCUCCGAAGGCUUUCGUUCCACCGGCACCACAUUUGCUCAGGCCAAUCUACACCCUAUGGCCAUUAAAAGUUAUUCAAAUCAUGACGCUGCACCCCACGGUUUAGGUUCUAGGGGGCGCCAAAGAUAACCCUAAGAUCCACAUAUUUAAAAGUCUUAUAACUUUUUAUUUUUGCCCUCACUGGCCUCCAAGUUUUCUAGGAUGAUGCAAUGUCCAGCCAUCAACACAUUUGUGAAGGAAUUUUGACUCCCCAAAAGAGCGCCCCCCCAUGGCAGGAGAAAAAAGUCCAUUUUUUCUUGUCCCCUAAGGUGAAAAUACACAUUGUUGAGUGUAACACCUGUACGCUUUGGCAAAAUGACACAAAAAUUGACACACACAUGUAUCUCAAUAAGAUCUACAAAAAAGUCAGUGCGGGCGUAUCUGUAAAAUGUACGGUUAAAGGGUUAUUUCGCAUUUUUUGCCGAUCCGCACACAUUGGAAUUUCGCUAACUCCUCCGAAGGCUUUCGUUCCACCGGCACCACAUUUGCUCAGGCCAAUCUACACCCCAUGGCCAUUAAAAGUUAUUCAAAUCAUGACGCUGCACCCCACGGUUUAGGUUCUAGGGGGCGCCAAAGAUAACCGUAAAAUCCACAUAUUUAAAAGUCUUAUAACUUUUUAUUUUUGUCCCCACUGGCCUCCAAGUUUUCUAGGAUGAUGCAAUGUCCAGCCAUCAACACAUUUGUGAAGGAAUUUUUACUCGGCAAAAGAGCGCCCCCCCAUGGCAGGAGAAAAAAGUCAAUUUUUUCUUGUCCACUAAGGUGAAAAUACACAUUGUUGAGUGCUACGCCUGUAUGUUUUGUCGUAUUGACACAAAAUUUUACAUACACGUGUAUUUCAAUAAGAUCUUCGAAAAAGUCAAUGGCCACGUAUCUGUAAAAUGUACGGUUAAAGGGUUAUUUCGCAUUUUUUGCAGAUUCGCACACAUUGGAAUUUCGCUAAUUCCUCCGAAGGCUUUCGUUCCACCGGCACCACAUUUGCUCAGGCCGAUCUACACCCCAUGGCCAUUAAAAGUUAUUCAAAUCAUGACGCUGCACCCCACGGUUUAGGUUCUAGGGGGCGCCAAAUAUAACCCUAAAAUCCACAUAUUUAAAAGUCUUAUAACUUUUUAUUUUUGUCCUCACUGGCCUCCAUGUUUUCUAGGAUGAUGCAAUGUCCAGCCAUCAACACAUUUGUGAAGGAGUUUUUUCUCUUUAAAAGAGCGCCCCCCCAUGGCAGGAGAAUAAAGUCAAGUUUUUCCUGUUCAUCAUUCAAUGGCUCAAACGCACUGCUCUCUCGGCAAAAGCGAAAGGAGGAGCAACUUGCCAUUUGGAUAUAUCUUAGCUGUGUUUGUGCCCUCACUCAUGGUCCAGACUUUUUUCAAAUAGGACAUGGAGUUUUUCUGCAGCGAGCGUUUUGGUAGAAACUGCGCCUCCCGUUCAUUAUAAUGGUAAAUGACCACAAACAAGUGCGCACACCAUCUUUGGACCUUGAGUGUGACGCGAUCGGGUGGGGGAGGCGUGACACGGCUCGGGCCCGCCAGUGCCCCAACGGGGCCCUAGUUAGGGCCCGAGCGUAGCUGCUAAGCAGCUGCGAGAGCCCUAUUAUUCCCCAAGGGGUUUUUCUUUGUUUCUUUCUUUCUUUCUUUCUUCUUUUUCCUCCCCUUUGAACUGGAAAAUGGCCCACUUCCCACUGGCGAAAACUCAUGAAAUUUGGCAGGACGACCGGGCCUGGUGAAAAAUUUGAUAUUCCGAAGUCGCCCAAACAAGAAAAUGCAAAAUGGCUCCAUAGCGCCCCCUAAGGUGAAAAUUCACACUAUUGACUGUCACGCCUGUACGCUUUGUCAAAAUGACACAAAAAUUGACACACACAUGUAUCUCAAUAAGAUCUACAAAAAAGUCAGUGCGGGCGUAUCUGUCAAAUGUACGGUUAAAGGGUUAUUUCGCAUUUUUUGCCGAUCCGCACACAUUGGAAUUUCGCUAACUCCUCCGAAGGCUUUCGUUCCACCGGCACCACAUUUGCUCAGGCCAAUCUACACCCCAUGGCCAUUAAAAGUUAUUCAAAUCAUGACGCUGCACCCCACGGUUUAGGUUCUAGGGGGCGCCAAAGAUAACCCUAAAAUCCACAUUUUUAAAAGUCUUAUAACUUUUUAUUUUUGCCCUCACUGGCCUCCAAGUUUUCUAGGAUGAUGCAAUGUCCAGCCAUCAACACAUUUGUGAAGGAAUUUUUACUCCCCAAAAGAGUUCCCCCCCAUGGCAGGAGAAAAAAGUCCAUUUUUUCUUGUCCCCUUAAGUGAAAAUACACAUUGUUGAGUGUCACGCCUGUACGCUUUGUCAAAAUGACACAAAAAUUGACACACACAUGUAUCUCAAUAAGAUCUACAAAAAAGUCAAUGCGCGCGUAUCUGUAAAAUGUACAGUUAAAGGGUUAUUCCGCAUUUUUUGCCGAUUCGCACACAUUGGAAUUUCGCUAACUCCUCCGAAGGCUUUCGUUCCACCGGCACCACAUUUGCUCAGGCCAAAUUACACCCCAUGGCCAUUAAAAGUUAUUCAAAUCAUGACGCUGCACCCUACGGUUUACGUUCUAGGGGGCGCCAAAGAUAACCCAAAAAUCCACAUUUUUAAAAGUCUUAUAACUUUUUAUUUUUGCCCUCACUGGCCUCCAAGUUUUCUAGGAUGAUGCAAUGUCCAGCCAUCAACACAUUUGUGAAGGAAUUUUUACUUCCUAAAAGAGCGCCCCCCCCAUGGCAGGAGAAAAAAGUCCAUUUUUUCUUGUCCCCUAAGGUGAAAAUACACAUUGUUGACUGUCACGCCUGUACGCUUUGGCAAAAUGACACAAAAAUUGACAAUCAUGUGUAUCUCAAUUAGAUCUACGAAAAAGUCAAAGAGCGCGUAUCUGUAUAAUGUACGGCAAAAGGGCUAUUUUGCAUUUUUUGCCGAUUCGCACACAUUGGAAUUUCGCUAACUCCUC
This 8479-nucleotide long non-coding RNA is filed under the name Xyrichtys novacula (pearly razorfish). Lineage: Eukaryota; Metazoa; Chordata; Actinopteri; Labriformes; Labridae. The record is from RNAcentral.